CAGUUCGGAUUGCAGGCUGCAACUCGCCUGCAUGAAGUCGGAAUCGCUAGUAAUCGCGGAUCAGCACGCCGCGGUGAAUACGUUCCCGGGCCUUGUACACACCGCCCGUCACACCACGGAAGUUGGGAGUACCCAAAGUAGGUUGCCUAACCGCAAGGAGGGCGCUUCCUAAGGUAAGACCGAUGACUGGGGUGAAGUCGUAACAAGGUACC
This 212-nucleotide ribosomal RNA is filed under the name uncultured bacterium. RNAcentral describes it as "partial 16S ribosomal RNA". It matches the Rfam family "Bacterial small subunit ribosomal RNA", at positions 1289 to 1500 of the family's 1533-position model. The record is from RNAcentral.